CUACGGGCGGCAGCAGUGGGGGAUAUUGGACAAUGGGCGAAAGCCUGAUCCAGCAAUGCCGCGUGAGUGAAGAAGGCCUUAGGGUUGUAAAGCUCUUUCACCCGAGACGAUGAUGACGGUACCGGGAGAAGAAGCCCCGGCUAACUCCGUGCCAGCAGCCGCGGUAAUGAGCGGAGGGGGCUAGCGUUGUUCGGAUUUACUGGGCGUAAAGCGCACGUAGGCGGCGCAAUUAGUCAGGGGUGAAAGGCCUGGGCUCAACCUGGGAACUGCCUUUGAUACUGUUGUGCUGGAGUCCGGGAGGGGGUGGCGGAAUUCCCAGUGUAGAGGUGAAAUUCGUAGAUAUUGGGAAGAACACCGGUGGCGAAGGCGGUCACCUGGCCCGGAACUGACGCUGAGGUGCGAAAGCGUGGGGAGCAAACAGGAUUAGAUACCCGCGUAGUC
This 441-nucleotide ribosomal RNA is filed under the name uncultured bacterium. Its description in RNAcentral is "partial 16S ribosomal RNA". It matches the Rfam family "Bacterial small subunit ribosomal RNA", at positions 339 to 795 of the family's 1533-position model. The record is from RNAcentral.